RNAcentral lists this ribosomal RNA (337 nucleotides) under Sisyphus faciculatus. Its description in RNAcentral is "partial 16S ribosomal RNA". The record is from RNAcentral. Lineage: Eukaryota; Metazoa; Arthropoda; Insecta; Coleoptera; Scarabaeidae. RNAcentral also lists the same sequence under 1 other name.
AAAGUCUAACCUGCCCAAUGAGGAGUUAAAUGGCCGCAAUAUUUUGAUUGUGCAAAGGUAGCAUAAUAAUUAGUUUUUUAAUUGAGAACUGGUAUGAAUGGUUGGACGAGAAAAAAACUGUCUCAAUUUAAUUUUAAUUAGAAUUUUAUUUUUAAGUUAAAAAGCUUAAAUGAUUUUAAAAGACGAGAAGACCCUAUAGAGUUUUAUAUAAUUUUUAUAUUUAAUAUUUUAAGUAUUUUUAUUUAUUAAUUUUAAAAAUUAUAUUUGGUUGGGGUGAUUGGAAAAUUUAAUUAACUUUUUUUUUAUAUACAUCAUUUAUUUAUGAAUAAUUGAUCCA